This is a non-coding RNA of Salmo salar (Atlantic salmon), 54 nucleotides long. NCBI's taxonomy places the organism in Eukaryota, Metazoa, Chordata, Actinopteri, Salmoniformes, Salmonidae. The record is from Rfam.
UGAAUUCACUACUGUAAGUCGCUCUGGAUAAGAGUGUCUACUAAAUGACUAAAA